GGCGAACGCUGGCGGCGUGCCUAAUACAUGCAAGUUGAGCGAUGAAGAUUGGUGCUUGCCCCAAUUUGAAGAGCAGCGAGCGGGUGAGUAACGCGUGGGGAAUCUGCCUUUGAGCGGGGGACAACAUUUGGAAACGAAUGCUAAUACCGCAUAACAACUUUAAACAUAAGUUUUAAGUUUGAAAGAUGCAAUUGCAUCACUCAAAGAUGAUCCCGCGUUGUAUUAGCUAGUUGGUGAGGUAAAGGCUCACCAAGGCGAUGAUACAUAGCCGACCUGAGAGGGUGAUCGGCCACAUUGGGACUGAGACACGGCCCAAACUCCUACGGGAGGCAGCAGUAGGGAAUCUUCGGCAAUGGACGAAAGUCUGACCGAGCAACGCCGCGUGAGUGAAGAAGGUUUUCGGAUCGUAAAACUCUGUUGGUAGAGAAGAACGUUGGUGAGAGUGGAAAGCUCAUCAAGUGACGGUAACUACCCAGAAAGGGACGGCUAACUACGUG
RNAcentral lists this ribosomal RNA (497 nucleotides) under uncultured bacterium. RNAcentral's name for it is "partial 16S ribosomal RNA". It matches the Rfam family "Bacterial small subunit ribosomal RNA", at positions 28 to 507 of the family's 1533-position model. The record is from RNAcentral.